This is a long non-coding RNA of Microcebus murinus (gray mouse lemur), 348 nucleotides long. RefSeq lists it as uncharacterized. Lineage: Eukaryota; Metazoa; Chordata; Mammalia; Primates; Cheirogaleidae. The record is from RefSeq and is a predicted model, not a curated record.
UGCAGAGGACACAGACUAGCAACCAACCAGAUGCAGGGGACACAGCCUAGCAACCAACCAGAUGCAGGGGACACAGCCUAGCAACCAACCAGAUGCAGGGGACACAGACUAGCACCACCAGAUGCAGGGAGCGAGAAGGAGCUGUCGACAGGGCCGCCAUGUUUAGCUGAGUGAGUGGACAAUGUCAUUGACGCAAAGAGAUACGGCCAAAGGAAAAACAGCACGAGUGGAUAAAAUGUGAACACCCAGGACUCCCUGAUUCAAGUCUAGGCCAGUUCCCUGGAGAUCAAAUAUCUCACCUCGCCCAUGGCAGUUACAGAUGUGGAGAAAAUAAUCCUAUUAUAUUAA